UGGACGAAAGUCUGAUGGAGCAACGCCGCGUGAGUGAAGAAGGUUUUCGGAUCGUAAAACUCUGUUGUAAGGGAAGAACAAGUACGGUAGUAACUGGCCGUACCUUGACGGUACCUUAUUAGAAAGCCACGGCUAACUACGUGCCAGCAGCCGCGGUAAUACGUAGGUGGCAAGCGUUGUCCGGAAUUAUUGGGCGUAAAGCGCGCGCAGGCGGUCCUUUAAGUCUGAUGUGAAAGCCCACGGCUCAACCGUGGAAGGUCAUUGGAAACUGGGGGACUUGAGUGCAGAAGAGGUUAGUGGAAUUCCAAGUGUAGCGGUGAAAUGCGUAGAGAUUUGGAGGAACACCAGUGGCGAAGGCGACUAACUGGUCUGUAACUGACGCUGAGGCGCGAAAGCGUGGGGAGCAAACAGGAUUAGAUACCCUGGUAGUCCACGCCGUAAACGAUGAGUGCUAAGUGUUAGGGGGUUUCCGCCCCUUAGUGCUGCAGUAAACGCAUUAAGCACUCCGCCUGGGGAGUACGGCCGCAAGGCUGAAACUCAAAGGAAUUGACGGGGGCCCGCACAAGCGGUGGAGCAUGUGGUUUAAUUCGAAGC
Molecule: ribosomal RNA, 594 nt
Filed under: bacterium T-2-0-6E
Lineage: Bacteria
Description: bacterial SSU rRNA
Rfam family: Bacterial small subunit ribosomal RNA
Source: RNAcentral